RNAcentral lists this ribosomal RNA (497 nucleotides) under uncultured bacterium. Its description in RNAcentral is "partial 16S ribosomal RNA". It matches the Rfam family "Bacterial small subunit ribosomal RNA", at positions 28 to 507 of the family's 1533-position model. The record is from RNAcentral.
GAUGAACGCUGGCGGCGUGCCUAAUACAUGCAAGUCGAGCGAACGGACGAGAAGCUUGCUUCUCUGAUGUUAGCGGCGGACGGGUGAGUAACACGUGGAUAACCUACCUAUAAGACUGGGAUAACUUCGGGAAACCGGAGCUAAUACCGGAUGAUAUUUUGAACCGCAUGGUUCAAAAGUGAAAGACGGUCUUGCUGUCACCUAUAGAUGUAUCCGCGCUGCAUUAGCUAGUUGGUAAGGUAACGGCUUACCAAGGCAACGAUGCAUAGCCGACCUGAGAGGGUGAUCGGCCACACUGGAACUGAGACACGGUCCAGACUCCUACGGGAGGCAGCAGUAGGGAAUCUUCCGCAAUGGGCGAAAGCCUGACGGAGCAACGCCGCGUGAGUGAUGAAGGUCUUCGGAUCGUAAAACUCUGUUAUUAGGGAAGAACAUAUGUGUAAGUAACUGUGCACAUCUUGACGGUACCUAAUCAGAAAGCCACGGCUAACUACGUG